UCGGGCGCGCCUUCAGAGCGUGCCGCUGGUAGAUCUUCGCC
Molecule: small RNA, 41 nt
Filed under: Sinorhizobium meliloti 2011
Lineage: Bacteria; Pseudomonadati; Pseudomonadota; Alphaproteobacteria; Hyphomicrobiales; Rhizobiaceae
Description: putative ncRNA
Source: RNAcentral